CUACGGAGGGUGCAAGCGUUAAUCGGAAUUACUGGGCGUAAAGCGCGCGUAGGCGGUUUGCUCAGUCGGAUGUGAAAGCCCAGGGCUCAACCUUGGAACUGCAUACGAUACUGGCAAACUAGAGUGUGAGAGAGGAUAGUGGAAUUUCCGGUGUAGCGGUGAAAUGCGUAGAUAUCGGAAGGAACAUCAGUGGCGAAGGCGACUGUCUGGCUCAACACUGACGCUGAGGUGCGAAAGCGUGGGUAGCAAACAGGAUUAGAAACCCUAGUAGUCC
This 274-nucleotide ribosomal RNA is filed under the name uncultured bacterium. Its description in RNAcentral is "partial 16S ribosomal RNA". It matches the Rfam family "Bacterial small subunit ribosomal RNA", at positions 523 to 796 of the family's 1533-position model. The record is from RNAcentral.